AUUGAACGCUGGCGGCAUGCCUUACACAUGCAAGUCGAACGGCAGCGGGCCUUCGGGUGCCGGCGAGUGGCGAACGGGUGAGUAAUGCAUCGGAACGUGCCAUUGAGUGGGGGGAUAACGUAGCGAAAGUUACGCUAAUACCGCAUAUUCUGUGAGCAGGAAAGCAGGGGGACCGCAAGGCCUUGCGCUCUUUGAGCGGCCGAUGUCAGAUUAGCUAGUUGGUGAGGUAAAGGCUUACCAAGGCGACGAUCUGUAGCGGGUCUGAGAGGAUGAUCCGCCACACUGGAACUGAGACACGGUCCAGACUCCUACGGGAGGCAGCAGUGGGGAAUUUUGGACAAUGGGCGCAAGCCUGAUCCAGCCAUGCCGCGUGAGUGAAGAAGGCCUU
This 388-nucleotide ribosomal RNA is filed under the name uncultured bacterium. Its description in RNAcentral is "bacterial SSU rRNA". It matches the Rfam family "Bacterial small subunit ribosomal RNA", at positions 30 to 418 of the family's 1533-position model. The record is from RNAcentral.